UGAGCUGGAUUCCACUUUGGGCCUGUC
RNAcentral lists this non-coding RNA (27 nucleotides) under Mus musculus (house mouse). The record is from RNAcentral. Lineage: Eukaryota; Metazoa; Chordata; Mammalia; Rodentia; Muridae.